UAAUUGGGGGUGAAAGGAGGUGCAGAAGCGUAGAGGUUGUUGGGGUUGGGAUCGGAAGGGUUGGGAUUGGGGAUGGGGUUUUGGGGAUGAGAAAAUUGAUAAUACGGAGGAACAGAGGUGAAAUCUCCUUGCUGCAUCGUUAACUGCAGUUGGUUAAAUUGGGAUUAGGAUUAGGGUUCUUGAGAAGUGUGAGGUAGAAGAUCGCAAUGAUUGAUUGAAUUGAUCGAUUCUAAAGACUCUCUGAGAAGGGUUUGGAAAAGGAGAAUAGAAUAUGUGAAGUGGUUCGAAUGAAUGUUGUAGAAGUAACUUGGGUGCUGCGAUGACCUUCAGUGGGUUGAGGGAAAGAGAAAGAAAGGAAUACUGUAAAUAAAAAUUUUUGGACUUUAGCAUACUUAGGAUAAAUCCAAUUUCUGAUGCCACAUCACCAAUGCUUCUUUUAAUCAAAACAGGUCACCUUUAAAAAAACACAUCACCACAUUACUAACGCAACACGUGGAUUUCAUUUAACACCGUUUGCUAAUACUUAACGGAUGGGGUACAAUUUUUGCAUUUUUACAAAAAUUAUGACUAAAUUGAGACUGUUGCAAACUUGAGGACCAAAAUGAGAUUAGUUGACAAAUAAGAGGACCAAUGGAGGUAUUAAGCCUUUAUUAUAAUAAAAAAAAUUCAUUAAAACAAUUAAUGUAUUAUAAAAUGUUGUAUAUAAAUUAUGUACAACUUAAAUAAUUAAUUAGGUGUGUGUAGUACUUUGUAGGUUUCCUAUUCAUGUGGCAUGCGUCUCUGUCUCCUCUGUGUUAUCCG
This 801-nucleotide long non-coding RNA is filed under the name Vigna radiata. RNAcentral's name for it is "long non-coding RNA (VRAD_LNC016225)". The record is from RNAcentral. Lineage: Eukaryota; Viridiplantae; Streptophyta; Magnoliopsida; Fabales; Fabaceae.